AUGAGUGGGAUGGCGUCCAGGCGGAAGCCGGUGUCUGAGAGUAGGGGGACCAAAUCGGGUAGGAUGGCGGACGGUGGAGGGGAGUUGGGUGGCUAUCACCCUCAUCACGUGCAGCGUGCUGUUUGUGACUCGCGGGCCAAGUACCGGGAGGGCCGGAGGCCCCGCGCAGUUAAGGUAUAUACAAUCAAUUUGGAAUCUCAGUACUUAUUAAUUCAAGGAGUUCCUGCCGUGGGAGUUAUGAAAGAGUUGAUUGAGCAAUUUGCUUUAUUUGGUGCUAUUGAACAGUAUAAUGCUCUAGAUGAGUAUCCGGCAGAAGAAUUUACAGAAGUGUAUCUAAUUAAAUUCCAAAAAUUACAAAGUGCAAGGAUAGCCAAACGAAAAUUGGAUGAACGAAGUUUUUUCGGUGGUUUACUUCAUGUGUGCUAUGCUCCAGAAUUUGAAACAGUACAAGAAACCAGAGAGAAAUUACAGGAGAGACGACGAUAUAUAGCAAGAACAACUGGGAUUAAAGAAGAUAAACUCCAGCCAGUAACAAAGAAAAAUGUGUAUACAGAACCUACAUUUACAAAAGACCUCAGAAAUUAUUUUCAAUCAAAGGCGUCUGAAUUUUGUGCAACUUCUUUGAACCCUUAUACUGAAAAUCCAUGGAAUUGUCAUCCUGGCUCUCUGAAUUCAACUCCAUAUCAUGUCUCUUCAAAGUAUACAGCUUCUGAAUCAGGAGAUCUCUUAGAGAGAACUCUGAUCCCCCCUCAGCUUGAUAGAAACUAUAACAAAACUAUGUCAGAUUAUAACCAGAAGAACUCUUUGACAGAGAUGGAAAUGAUUGGAACUUCAGUAGGCUAUAUUGAACCCCAAAAGGUUAUUCCUUCUAAUAAUGGAAUUGCUAGAUUCAUGCCUCGAACAACUCAGCUGCAGGAGCGAAAGAGAAGAAGAGAAGAAGACCGUAAACUUGGAACUUUCCUUGAAACAAACCCAAGAAGUAAGGAAGUUAUUAUUGGACCACAGCUACCAGAAAUCCCUAAAGUGGAUAUGGAGGAUGAGUCUUUGAAUAUGUCAGCUAACUUAAUUCGUAAUAAACUAAAGGAGGUCAUUUCUUCCCAACCAAAACCCUCAGAGAGCAAGCUGGAAGAUACACAUAUAAGUCGUCCAUUAAAGCAAAGAAGAAGAAUAUAGAAGAGUAUAAAUCUGGAAAAUGGCAUGAUGAAGAAACUGAAGCAGACGGAAGUUAAGUGAUUUGCUCAAGAUCAUACAGCUAGAUCUUCUUCCACUGGAUGUUUGAGGAGACUGUUCUUCAGCAUGUCAAACAUUUCAUCCUGGGAAAUAUAUCCGUCCCCAUUCACGUAAUAAACUUGGUAACAGUCUUUUUGAAGCAGGAAGAAAAACAUCAAUUUUAGAUGAACAAUUAACCUUGUUUCAUUUUCUCCUUAAUUAUCAUAAUGCAUUAUUAUAUCAUCAUUAACAUUUUAUAAAAUGUGGGAGGCAAAAUGGUCCAACAGAAAGAACCCCGAAUUUAGUGUCAUAGGACUCAAAUGUGUAACAGGCUGGCUGACCUCCAAAGCUCCUUCCGGCUCUAUGGCAUGAUAUUAUUUGCAAAUGGAAUAUAGCAGCAAACAUUCUUGUCAACUAAGUGGGAUUUAUACUAGGAAUCCAAGGAUUAUUGAACAUUAAGAAAACAAACAUCAGAAAAAUGUGUAAAUCAUAAGAUGCUGUCAAUACAUAUAGAAAAAGCUUUCAGUAAGAUGACAUUCGUUCAUGAUUGAAAAUAAAA
Molecule: RNA transcript, 1768 nt
Organism: Monodelphis domestica (gray short-tailed opossum)
Lineage: Eukaryota; Metazoa; Chordata; Mammalia; Didelphimorphia; Didelphidae
Gene: RBM48
Gene name: RNA binding motif protein 48
Source: RefSeq, a predicted model, not a curated record